RNAcentral lists this ribosomal RNA (468 nucleotides) under uncultured bacterium. Its description in RNAcentral is "bacterial SSU rRNA". It matches the Rfam family "Bacterial small subunit ribosomal RNA", at positions 32 to 507 of the family's 1533-position model. The record is from RNAcentral.
GACGAAACGCUGGCGGCGUGCUUAAAAACAUGCAAGUCGAACGGACUUCUCAUGAAGCUUGCGAUUGAGAAGUUAGUGGCGGACGGGUGAGUAACGCGUGGGCAACCUGCCCCUGAGCCCGGGAUAACAGUUCGAAAGGACUGCUAAGACCGGAUAUACUUGCGGGGAAGCAUUUCACUGCAAGGAAAGGGAACGCUCAGGGGAUGGGCCCGCGUCCCAUUAGCUAGUUGGUGAGGUAACGGCCCACCAAGGCGACGAUGGGUAGCCGGCCUGAGAGGGUGAACGGCCACACUGGGACUGAGACACGGCCCAGACUCCUACGGGAGGCAGCAGUUGGGAAUCUUCGGCAAUGGGCGCAAGCCUGACCGAGCAACGCCGCGUGAGUGAUGAAGGUUUUCGGAUUGUAAAGCUCUGUCUUCCGGGACGAUAAUGACGGUACCGGAGGAGGAAGCCACGGCUAACUACGUG